ACUACGUGAAUGGGAGAAAAAAAAAAGAGAAAACCAACCAACUAAAAAGGAUCAAAAUCUGUGGUUUUAUCGUCCGCCGUCGCUCUUAUGAGAAUUUUUUAAAUUUUUUUUUUUUGGCUUUCCUUUCAAUUUAUGAUGAACAAAAAUCUGCCUACGUAUCCCCUCCUUUCCAAAGAGCGGUGAAACAAAAGCAGGGGACAAUUUUUUUUU
Molecule: non-coding RNA, 210 nt
Filed under: Protocruzia adhaerens
Lineage: Eukaryota; Ciliophora; Spirotrichea
Source: RNAcentral